UAGGGAAUCUUCCGCAAUGGACGCAAGUCUGACGGAGCAACGCCGCGUGAGUGAAGAAGGAUUUCGGUUCGUAAAACUCUGUUGUUAGAGAAGAACAGCGCAUAGAGUAACUGUUAUGCGUGUGACGGUAUCUAACCAGAAAGCCACGGCUAACUACGUGCCAGCAGCCGCGGUAAUACGUAGGUGGCAAGCGUUGUCCGGAUUUAUUGGGCGUAAAGCGAGCGCAGGCGGUCAAUUAAGUCUGAUGUGAAAGCCCCCGGCUCAACCGGGGAGGGUCAUUGGAAACUGGUUGACUUGAGUGCAGAAGAGGAGAGUGGAAUUCCAUGUGUAGCGGUGAAAUGCGUAGAUAUAUGGAGGAACACCAGUGGCGAAGGCGACUCUCUGGUCUGUAACUGACGCAGAGGUUCGAAAGCGUGGGUAGCAAACAGG
RNAcentral lists this ribosomal RNA (429 nucleotides) under Bacteroidota bacterium. Its description in RNAcentral is "Bacteroidetes bacterium partial 16S ribosomal RNA". It matches the Rfam family "Bacterial small subunit ribosomal RNA", at positions 355 to 776 of the family's 1533-position model. Lineage: Bacteria; Pseudomonadati; Bacteroidota. The record is from RNAcentral.